UACAGAGGUCCCAAGCGUUGUUCGGAUUCAUUGGGCGUAAAGGGUGCGUAGGCGGCGCGGUAAGUCGGGUGUGAAAUCUCGGAGCUUAACUCCGAAACUGCAUUCGAUACUGCCGUGCUUGAGGACUGGAGAGGAGACUGGAAUUUACGGUGUAGCGGUGAAAUGCGCAGAUAUCGUAAGGAAGACCAGUGGCGAAGGCGGGUCUCUGGACAGUUCCUGACGCUGAGGCACGAAGGCCAGGGGAGCAAACGGG
Molecule: ribosomal RNA, 253 nt
Filed under: uncultured bacterium
Lineage: Bacteria
Description: partial 16S ribosomal RNA
Rfam family: Bacterial small subunit ribosomal RNA
Source: RNAcentral